GGCGCGCCCCCCUCCCUCGCUCGGGCGAGGGAAGAGCGGGGCGGCGCCCGCGCGCUACGUGGUGGAACCCGCCCGGCGGGCGCAACAGGAGGCCCGCCCGCGGGGACGGCGCGGCCCGCCGCGUCACGUGACGCUCCCUGCCAACAGGUCGCCUGAGGCAGGGCCCGCGUGUCGUAGGGGGGCGGGGGGAGGGGCGGCCCGCUGCACCCCUCUUUCACCCGGAGGCGAGGACGUCCUCGUGUCUGAGGCUGACGCCGUGGGCUUGACAAAGAGCUGAAUAACGACUAAAGAGAAUUAAGAAGUUGAAACCACAACAUGGAAGACACCUGGGGUUGACAAGCGAGUCAUCGGAGAAGCGCUUCCUAGGAGAGCUGUGUGACCAGGAACACCUCGAGUAAUGUAUUUGCUUUACUAAAGAAUGACUUGUAUGAGAAGAAAAUCUAUUUUCCAUAAAAAUAAAAAAAGAAUGACUGAAAUCUCUCCAACUGCUAUCUAAAA
Molecule: small RNA, 498 nt
Filed under: Rattus norvegicus (Norway rat)
Lineage: Eukaryota; Metazoa; Chordata; Mammalia; Rodentia; Muridae
Description: uncharacterized LOC102550036
Source: RNAcentral